Molecule: ribosomal RNA, 149 nt
Filed under: uncultured bacterium
Lineage: Bacteria
Description: partial 16S ribosomal RNA
Rfam family: Bacterial small subunit ribosomal RNA
Source: RNAcentral
AGCAUGCCGCGGUGAAUACGUUCCCGGGCCUUGUACACACCGCCCGUCACACCAUGAGAGUCGGGAACACCCGAAGUCCGUAGCCUAACCGCAAGGGGGCGCGGCCGAAGGUGGGUUCGAUAAUUGGGGUGAAGUCGUAACAAGGUAGC